UGGGUCCUUUGUAAGUUCUUUUAACCACUGA
Molecule: non-coding RNA, 31 nt
Filed under: Mus musculus (house mouse)
Lineage: Eukaryota; Metazoa; Chordata; Mammalia; Rodentia; Muridae
Source: RNAcentral